This 1154-nucleotide ribosomal RNA is filed under the name Pediococcus acidilactici. RNAcentral's name for it is "bacterial SSU rRNA". It matches the Rfam family "Bacterial small subunit ribosomal RNA", at positions 316 to 1461 of the family's 1533-position model. The record is from RNAcentral. Lineage: Bacteria; Bacillati; Bacillota; Bacilli; Lactobacillales; Lactobacillaceae.
GGGCUGAGACCCGGCCCCAGAUUCCUACGGGAGGCAGCAGUAGGGAAUCUUCCACAAUGGACGCAAGUCUGAUGGAGCAACGCCGCGUGAAUGAAGAAGGGUUUCGGCUCGUAAAGCUCUGUUGUUAAAGAAGAACGUGGGUGAGAGUAACUGUUCACCCAGUGACGGUAUUUAACCAGAAAGCCACGGCUAACUACGUGCCAGCAGCCGCGGUAAUACGUAGGUGGCAAGCGUUAUCCGGAUUUAUUGGGCGUAAAGCGAGCGCAGGCGGUCUUUUAAGUCUAAUGUGAAAGCCUUCGGCUCAACCGAAGAAGUGCAUUGGAAACUGGGAGACUUGAGUGCAGAAGAGGACAGUGGAACUCCAUGUGUAGCGGUGAAAUGCGUAGAUAUAUGGAAGAACACCAGUGGCGAAGGCGGCUGUCUGGUCUGUAACUGACGCUGAGGCUCGAAAGCAUGGGUAGCGAACAGGAUUAGAUACCCUGGUAGUCCAUGCCGUAAACGAUGAUUACUAAGUGUUGGAGGGUUUCCGCCCUUCAGUGCUGCAGCUAACGCAUUAAGUAAUCCGCCUGGGGAGUACGACCGCAAGGUUGAAACUCAAAAGAAUUGACGGGGGCCCGCACAAGCGGUGGAGCAUGUGGUUUAAUUCGAAGCUACGCGAAGAACCUUACCAGGUCUUGACAUCUUCUGCCAACCUAAGAGAUUAGGCGUUCCCUUCGGGGACAGAAUGACAGGUGGUGCAUGGUUGUCGUCAGCUCGUGUCGUGAGAUGUUGGGUUAAGUCCCGCAACGAGCGCAACCCUUAUUACUAGUUGCCAGCAUUCAGUUGGGCACUCUAGUGAGACUGCCGGUGACAAACCGGAGGAAGGUGGGGACGACGUCAAAUCAUCAUGCCCCUUAUGACCUGGGCUACACACGUGCUACAAUGGAUGGUACAACGAGUUGCGAAACCGCGAGGUUUAGCUAAUCUCUUAAAACCAUUCUCAGUUCGGACUGUAGGCUGCAACUCGCCUACACGAAGUCGGAAUCGCUAGUAAUCGCGGAUCAGCAUGCCGCGGUGAAUACGUUCCCGGGCCUUGUACACACCGCCCGUCACACCAUGAGAGUUUGUAACACCCAAAGCCGGUGGGGUAACCUUUUAGGAGCUAGCCGUCUAAG